UACGGAAGGCAGCAGGUGGGGAAUAUUGUACAAUGGGCGCAAGCCUGAUGCAGCCAUGCCGCGUGUAUGAAGAAGGCCUUCGGGUUGUAAAGUACUUUCAGCGGGGAGGAAGGCGAUGCGGUUAAUAACCGCGUCGAUUGACGUUACCCGCAGAAGAAGCACCGGCUAACUCCGUGCCAGCAGCCGCGGUAAUACGGAGGGUGCAAGCGUUAAUCGGAAUUACUGGGCGUAAAGCGCACGCAGGCGGUCUGUUAAGUCAGAUGUGAAAUCCCCGGGCUUAACCUGGGAACUGCAUUUUGAAACUGGCAGGCUUGAGUCUUGUAGAGGGGGUAGAAUUCCAGGUGUAGCGGUGAAAUGCGUAGAGAUCUGGAGGAAUACCGGUGGCGAAGGCGGCCCCUGGGACAAAGACUGACGCUCAGGUGCGAAAGCGUGGGGAGCAAACAGGAUUAGAUACC
RNAcentral lists this ribosomal RNA (455 nucleotides) under uncultured bacterium. Its description in RNAcentral is "bacterial SSU rRNA". It matches the Rfam family "Bacterial small subunit ribosomal RNA", at positions 340 to 786 of the family's 1533-position model. The record is from RNAcentral.